UCCAUACUGCUUUCCAGAGUGGCUGCACCAGUUUGCAUUCCCAUGGCUCUUUCACUUUUAAGGUUGAUAUGGGUGUGUGUGAGGGGCAACUACAACUUGUGUGAGAGAACUCUGGGGAGUUUUGUUGUUGUUGCCGUGUGUGUGUGUGUGUGUGUGUGUGUGUGUGUGUGUCUAGUAUUUCCCAGAAGUGUGUUGAGAAACGAUUGUAUUUUCGACUCUGCACAGGUCAGCGUGGGAUGGAAGGGGAAGGCGUGUGUGUAUGCAGAGUGAGGGGGUAGGAUGCGCUUGGGUGGGACCAUGUGUGUAUGAGGACCUGUGUGUCAGGGAAGUGUCUGUGACACCAAUGUUUCUGGAGAUGACAGUGGAAGUGUGUUGGAAUCUUUCGUGUGGAAGAAUUUGGUAGAAGAUGGGCAGAAGAUGUGUUGAAGGAGUGUGGAUCGGGUGUGAGGGAGCAAAGGUAGGUGGGGAGGGGGAAGCCAGUGUGUCUUUGCAGAGGGUGGGGGCAAGCGGGCUCGUGCCUGUGGGAGAAAGUAUGCGUGGUGGGGGAAUGGGUGUGCAGGGCGGUCAAGGGGGGUGUGAGAAGACCUUCUGUGUGGAAGGCACGAGGAGGGGUGAUUUGUAUGUGCGUGGAAGGAGGAUGAGUAAGAAAUGAAGAAUAAGUGGGGGGAUGUGUUUAUCUGAAGGGUGUUGGGGAGCAGCCCCCCGGUAUGGAGAGGGACAGUCGGGGUGGAGGGUGGGUUAUCGUGCACAGUGUGGGAUGUCGGGGUGCGUGUGUGUCUGACUACGGAGGUGAAAGCGUGGGAAGUGAAAGUGGGUAUGGGAAGGGUAGGCUCCUUGUGGGUGACAAUUCGGGUAGGAAUGCUACUAAGGAGGCAUGGGUGGUCGUCUGCCCCCUCGGACUUGUCCUGGCCUCCGGGAUCAACAACCUAGACCGGCUUCACCGUGAAAUUCUUAUGGGACCAAAACAGAAGAGGGACAAUGAAAAACUGGGUGGCUGGUGACAUUCCUUUUAUCCUUUUGGGUGGUUUUUUUUUUUUUUUUUUUUUUUUUGACUUGACACUCAAGAAUCCCCACCCGGAUGAUGACUGAUGGGACAGUUGCUAGGUGGCGCCCCAGAGCUUGCUUCCACCCAGCAGGUCCCGCCUUUGCCCAGGGUCUGAACUGGUUUUUCCACUCUCGGGGUUUCUGCUCCUCAGAGAGCCCCUGAGCAAUUAUAUUCCCUUCGAUCCAUUCCAUCCUACGAAGGGCAGAAGGACAUAAUCCCCCUGCAGCACAAGAAGGACAUCGGAGGCUUAAAAGGAGGCAUCAAUUAGCACCGAGGGAGAGGACACCUCCCUUCCUCGCACCCACCAGUCCUGCCUUUCAGAAGAAUGGUACCCAGAGCCGCCGGGGUAGCUCAGUCCGUUAAGCCUCUGACUCUUCAUUUUGGCUCAGGUCAUGAUCUCACAGUUCAUGUGUUGGGAAAAUAAAUCAAGUUUUCCACCAUAAGAUGGUCGAUGGGACGAAAACAAGCUCUGGUCUCUAGCUUGGAGUCCCCUCUUCCGGGUUCUUCUUGCCCUGUUUGCCGUCUGUGUGAAAACCACCCCCCCCCCCCCCCGCAAUGAAUAUGGAGGCUGACAAUGAUAAAUUACCCUUCCCGCUUGCAUUCAGUGCUCAGAUCUUUGGAGACACGGUCUCCUCGGAGCCCGCCGGUGUUAAAGAAAUCUCCGAUCCACCAA
This is a long non-coding RNA of Leopardus geoffroyi (Geoffroy's cat), 1718 nucleotides long. RefSeq lists it as uncharacterized. The record is from RefSeq and is a predicted model, not a curated record. NCBI's taxonomy places the organism in Eukaryota, Metazoa, Chordata, Mammalia, Carnivora, Felidae. The transcript is spliced from 2 exons.